Bombus pascuorum is the source of this 1901-nucleotide long non-coding RNA. RefSeq lists it as uncharacterized. The transcript is spliced from 2 exons. NCBI's taxonomy places the organism in Eukaryota, Metazoa, Arthropoda, Insecta, Hymenoptera, Apidae. The record is from RefSeq and is a predicted model, not a curated record.
UUACAAUAAAUAACAUUCCACAUUCUUGUUUCAUCAGCAGCUUCGAAUCUUACCAACUGAUAUAUUCGAAUUUCAAGAUGGCUUUUAUUCGAAUUGUUUCAGCUCAACAUUUCCUUUUACCUCUGACAUCCAUCUCGUUAAUUAGCAUUUUCCUUCAUGCACGUUGCAACAGUAACCGCGUACGCCGUAAUAUACCUAACUAUCGGCCGAUCAAUGAAGCGGCAAGAAGCAUUUUGGGACAACAAUGACGCAAAGGAAACGAUCAACGUGGGUUAGGCCGCAACAUCGCGUGACAACGGUGCAACGGUAGAUCCGGAAACAAGUAGAACAAGUAGAAGAAGGUGUGGCAGACUGUGUACAAUCUAUGAGACAAAAUGAAAACUAAAAGAAAAAAAGAACCGAUCGGCCAGAAAAAAAGCUCGAAGAAGAUAUGCGAAAAAACAAUCGAUACGGUGCUCAGAUCCGAUGGAUGGAAUCCAAUGAUGACGACGAUGAUAACUUCGUGCGUGAACGUGACGCGAGAAAACAUGAAGAAACGUGAAGUGGAAAUGAGAAGACGAAGCUGUGCACAGCGUUACGAGCAACCAAUCGAUAAAUAUUUAAGAUGACGAUGACAACGAAAAAAGGAAACGAAAGAAACACAAGUGCGAACGUGAGGAACAAAAUUCUAGAAGAGAAUGUUUCAGUGUGUUAACGCAGUUAACACGACCGUUCAACAAAUCAAACUAUGGCUAUGCUUGACAACGACGAACGAGUGCAUCGAACCUGGGUGCAGAGGACUCGUAGCUCGCGAGAUGAGUCAAAGAAAAUACGAAAUUAUUGCGAAGAUGCUGAUAUAGUGAUAAACGAGGAUAAAAUCAAGUACGUAUGUGUCUGUAUGAGUUGAUUCGAUGGUUGAUUACACGUAAUCACGCUGAACGAUUCUUGAAUCUUAUAAUGUGUUCUACGAGAUAAGAUUCUAAACACUGAAUAAGAUUAUAUUAUAUUUAGAAGGGAAAACGUGCUCGAAAAAUAGAAGAGUGCUUGUAGAAAACACUUGACAAGUGCCAAGAAACAAAUUUUUCAGGAGGAAAAGGAAACCGAUGCAUUGAUGUAAUUCAAAUUCAGGAAAAAGAGAAGCAUAUCUGUAGAAAAGUCUGUACGUGCCAUUUUUUAUUUGUAAAGAAAACUCGGUGUUUAAUUCAUUCAGAUAGGUGGCACAGACAAAAGCCAAGCAACAAUUAAUUAAAGUUUAUUGGUACUUAUAUUUUUUUCUGUAGAGGUGACGUUGUGACACCAUCUUCUAGCACUUAGGUCAAUAGCCAUUUAGGAAGAUUAAAAUAGCACAUAAAUUCUAUACUACAGUAUUAUUUCUAUUAAUUUAAUUCUAUAAUACAGUAUCGGUAUGUAAGACAUUCCCCAAUAAAACAUCAAAGUUUUUCAAUUUUCGCACUUACAGUAUCUUCUAUAAGCACUUUUCAAUUAUGUUGUAUGUUCCACUUUAAAGAAGGUAGGACAAUUCGUGAAGAACAUUGUCAAACUAUUAAUGUAUAUAAAAAAUUAAAAAUUUGAAAAAGAAAUAGCAGGUAAAAGUUGAAUGUUCUUUGGCUCGACUUGAGUGUUUUCUGCAAAUGAUUAAUAUAUGAUCUCAUCAAAGAUUGACAUUUGCCAUAUACAACAAUCUACAGAAAUAUCCCAUAAGCUAUAAAAAAGAAAGAAAUAAUAAUGAAACUAUACAACGAAGUUAAGUGAUCAGAUCAAACCUUGACAUCUUCAAGGAACCGAUUUAAUUAAUUAAUCCUUCAUCCUCACUAUAAAAAAGCUUCCCUGAAUAAACUUUGCAAAAGUGCAAAAUUAAUUUCACAAACGUUCAGCGUGUCAACGUAUAACGAGAAAAUAAAAUCGUCGCCGUCGAUGACCAA